CCUACGGGUGGCUGCAGUGGGGAAUAUUGGACAAUGGGGGGAACCCUGAUCCAGCCAUGCCGCGUGUGUGAAGAAGGCCCUCGGGUUGUAAAGCACUUUCAGUGAGGAAGAACGCCUGGUGGUUAAUACCCAUCAGGAAAGACAUCACUCACAGAAGAAGCACCGGCUAACUCCGUGCCAGCAGCCGCGGUAAUACGGAGGGUGCGAGCGUUAAUCGGAAUUACUGGGCGUAAAGCGCGCGUAGGUGGCUUGAUAAGCCGGUUGUGAAAGCCCCGGGCUCAACCUGGGAACGGCAUCCGGAACUGUCAAGCUAGAGUGCAGGAGAGGAAGGUAGAAUUCCCGGUGUAGCGGUGAAAUGCGUAGAGAUCGGGGGGAAUACCAGUGGCGAAGGCGGCCUUCUGGACUGACACUGACACUGAGGUGCGAAAGCGUGGGUAGCAAACAGGAUUAGAUACCCGGGUAGUC
Molecule: ribosomal RNA, 465 nt
Filed under: Vreelandella stevensii
Lineage: Bacteria; Pseudomonadati; Pseudomonadota; Gammaproteobacteria; Oceanospirillales; Halomonadaceae
Description: partial 16S ribosomal RNA
Rfam family: Bacterial small subunit ribosomal RNA
Source: RNAcentral